This 253-nucleotide ribosomal RNA is filed under the name uncultured bacterium. RNAcentral describes it as "partial 16S ribosomal RNA". It matches the Rfam family "Bacterial small subunit ribosomal RNA", at positions 524 to 776 of the family's 1533-position model. The record is from RNAcentral.
UACGUAGGGUGCAAGCGUUGUCCGGAAUUAUUGGGCGUAAAGGGCUCGUAGGCGGUCCAUCGCGUCGGGAGUGAAAAGCUGGGGCUCAACCCCAGUCCUGCUUCCGAUACGGGUGGACUAGAGGUAUGCAGGGGAGAACGGAAUUCCUGGUGUAGCGGUGAAAUGCGCAGAUAUCAGGAGGAACACCGGUGGCGAAGGCGGUUCUCUGGGCAUUACCUGACGCUGAGACGCGAAAGCGUGGGGAGCGAACAGG